GUUUGCCAGAUGAUGUUGGUCUGGAAACAUCAGAAAUUCAAGCUUUACCAGAGUACAUAGCAGAUCAAGCAAAAUCUGACAGUGAAAUUAAUUUGCCUGUUGACUUUGGUUUGGAAACAUCAGAAAUUGAAGCUUCACCAGAGAACAUAACAGAUCAAGGAAAAACUGACAGCAAAAAGGAAGUGUACCAGGGGGAAAUAAAUGUCCCUGAGGAUGUUGGUUUGGAAACAAC
Molecule: long non-coding RNA, 232 nt
Organism: Bombina bombina (fire-bellied toad)
Lineage: Eukaryota; Metazoa; Chordata; Amphibia; Anura; Bombinatoridae
Exons: 3
Source: RefSeq, a predicted model, not a curated record